UAGUCAUAUGCUUGUCUCAAAGAUUAAGCCAUGCAUGUCUCAGUGCAAGCCGUCUAGUACGGUGAAACCGCGAAAGGCUCAUUAAAUCAGUUAUGGUUCCUUAGAUUGUACCCACGUUACUUGGAUAACUGUGGUAAUUCUAGAGCUAAUACAUGCCGACAGAGUUCCGACCAGCCGUGCAAAUUGGCAACAAUGCGUAUGGCUCGGAAGGAGCGCUUUUAUUAGAUCAAAACCGGCCUGACGGCGGUGUUUGCGCACUGUCGUCUGCGGCCCACGCAAAGACUUGGUGACUCUGAAUAACUUCGAGCUGAUCGCACGGUCUCGUACCGGCGACGUAUCUUUCAAAUGUCUGCCUUAUCAACUGUCGACGGUAGGUUCGACGCCUACCGUGGUGGUAACGGGUAACGGGGAAUCAGGGUUCGAUUCCGGAGAGGGAGCCUGAGAAACGGCUACCACAUCCAAGGAAGGCAGCAGGCGCGCAAAUUACCCACUCCCAGUUCGGGGAGGUAGUGACGAAAAAUAACGAUACGGGACUCAUUAGAGGCCCCGUAAUCGGAA
This 558-nucleotide ribosomal RNA is filed under the name Nairobia bifrons. RNAcentral's name for it is "SSU rRNA". It matches the Rfam family "Eukaryotic small subunit ribosomal RNA", at positions 21 to 514 of the family's 1831-position model. Lineage: Eukaryota; Metazoa; Arthropoda; Insecta; Hemiptera; Pseudococcidae. The record is from RNAcentral.